RNAcentral lists this ribosomal RNA (468 nucleotides) under uncultured bacterium. RNAcentral's name for it is "partial 16S ribosomal RNA". It matches the Rfam family "Bacterial small subunit ribosomal RNA", at positions 28 to 507 of the family's 1533-position model. The record is from RNAcentral.
GACGAACGCUGGCGGCGUGCUUAACACAUGCAAGUCGAACGGAAAGGCCCUGCGUUUGUGGGGUGCUCGAGUGGCGAACGGGUGAGUAACACGUGAGUAACCUGCCCUUGACUUUGGGAUAACUUCAGGAAACUGGGGCUAAUACCGGAUAGGAGCUCCUGCUGCAUGGUGGGGGUUGGAAAGUUUCGGCGGUUGGGGAUGGACUCGCGGCUUAUCAGCUUGUUGGUGGGGUAGUGGCUUACCAAGGCUUUGACGGGUAGCCGGCAUGAGAGGGUGAACGGCCACAUUGGGACUACGGUACGGCCCAGACUCCUACGGGAGGCAGCAGUGGGGAAUAUUGCACAAUGGGAGGAAGCCUGAUGCAGCGACGCCACGUGCGGGAUGACGGCCUUCGGGUUGUAAACCGCUUUCGCCUGUGACGAAGCGUGAGUGACGGUAAUGGGUAAAGAAGCACCGGCUAACUACGUG